RNAcentral lists this ribosomal RNA (804 nucleotides) under uncultured bacterium. Its description in RNAcentral is "bacterial SSU rRNA". It matches the Rfam family "Bacterial small subunit ribosomal RNA", at positions 22 to 869 of the family's 1533-position model. The record is from RNAcentral.
GCUCAGGAUGAACGCUGGCGGUAUGCUUAACACAUGCAAGUCGAACGGUCUUUUCGGAGAUAGUGGCGGACGGGUGAGUAACGCGUAAGAAUCUACCUUCAGGUUGGGGACAACCACUGGAAACGGUGGCUAAUACCCAAUGUGCCGAGAGGUGAAAGGCUUGCUGCCUGAAGAAGAGCUUGCGUCUGAUUAGCUAGUUGGUGGGGUAAGAGCCUACCAAGGCGACGAUCAGUAGCUGGUCUGAGAGGAUGAUCAGCCACACUGGGACUGAGACACGGCCCAGACUCCUACGGGAGGCAGCAGUGGGGAAUUUUCCGCAAUGGGCGAAAGCCUGACGGAGCAAUACCGCGUGAGGGAGGAAGGCUCUUGGGUUGUAAACCUCUUUUCUCAGGGAAGAAAAAAAUGACGGUACCUGAGGAAUAAGCAUCGGCUAACUCCGUGCCAGCAGCCGCGGUAAUACGGAGGAUGCAAGCGUUAUCCGGAAUGAUUGGGCGUAAAGGGUCCGCAGGUGGCAUUGUAAGUCUGCUGUUAAAGAGUCACGCUCAACGUGAUAAAAGCAGUGGAAACUACAAAGCUAGAGUAUGGUCGGGGCAGAGGGAAUUCCUGGUGUAGCGGUGAAAUGCGUAGAUAUCAGGAAGAACACCGGUGGCGAAGGCGCUCUGCUAGGCCAAAACUGACACUGAGGGACGAAAGCUAGGGGAGCGAAUGGGAUUAGAUACCCCAGUAGUCCUAGCCGUAAACGAUGGAUACUAGGCGUAGCUCGUAUCGACCCGAGCUGUGCCGUAGCUAACGCGUUAAGUAUCC